UACAGAGGUCCCAAGCGUUGUUCGGAUUUACUGGGCGUAAAGGGUGCGUAGGUGGCGGGGUAAGUCUGGUGUGAAAGCUCCGAGCUCAACUCGGAAAAGCAUUGGAAACUAUCCCGCUGGAGGGUCGGAGGGGAGACUGGAAUUCUCGGUGUAGCAGUGAAAUGCGUAGAUAUCGAGAGGAACACCAGUGGCGAAGGCGGGUCUCUGGACAGUUCCUGACGCUGAGGCGCGAAGGCCAGGGGAGCAAACGGG
Molecule: ribosomal RNA, 252 nt
Filed under: uncultured bacterium
Lineage: Bacteria
Description: partial 16S ribosomal RNA
Rfam family: Bacterial small subunit ribosomal RNA
Source: RNAcentral